RNAcentral lists this ribosomal RNA (465 nucleotides) under Vreelandella stevensii. Its description in RNAcentral is "partial 16S ribosomal RNA". It matches the Rfam family "Bacterial small subunit ribosomal RNA", at positions 338 to 795 of the family's 1533-position model. The record is from RNAcentral. Lineage: Bacteria; Pseudomonadati; Pseudomonadota; Gammaproteobacteria; Oceanospirillales; Halomonadaceae.
CCUACGGGGGGCAGCAGUGGGGAAUAUUGGACAAUGGGGGGAACCCUGAUCCAGCCAUGCCGCGGGUGUGAAGAAGGCCCUCGGGUUGUAAAGCACUUUCAGUGAGGAAGAACGCCUGGUGGUUAAUACCCAUCAGGAAAGACAUCACUCACAGAAGAAGCACCGGCUAACUCCGUGCCAGCAGCCGCGGUAAUACGGAGGGUGCGAGCGUUAAUCGGAAUUACUGGGCGUAAAGCGCGCGUAGGUGGCUUGAUAAGCCGGUUGUGAAAGCCCCGGGCUCAACCUGGGAACGGCAUCCGGAACUGUCAAGCUAGAGUGCAGGAGAGGAAGGUAGAAUUCCCGGUGUAGCGGUGAAAUGCGUAGAGAUCGGGAGGAAUACCAGUGGCGAAGGCGGCCUUCUGGACUGACACUGACACUGAGGUGCGAAAGCGUGGGUAGCAAACAGGAUUAGAUACCCGGGUAGUC